AGGACGAACGCUGGCGGCGUGCUUAACACAUGCAAGUCGAGCGGAAAGGCCCUUCGGGGUACUCGAGCGGCGAACGGGUGAGUAACACGUGAGUAAUCUGCCCCUAGCUCUGGGAUAGCUCCGGGAAACCGGGAUUAAUACCAGAUACGACCACUUUAGACAUCUGCUGUGGUGAAAGAAUUUCGGCUAGGGAUGAGCUCGCGGCCUAUCAGCUUGUUGGUGAGGUAACGGCUCACCAAGGCGACGACGGGUA
RNAcentral lists this ribosomal RNA (253 nucleotides) under uncultured bacterium. RNAcentral describes it as "partial small subunit ribosomal RNA". It matches the Rfam family "Bacterial small subunit ribosomal RNA", at positions 26 to 285 of the family's 1533-position model. The record is from RNAcentral.